RNAcentral lists this ribosomal RNA (225 nucleotides) under Triticum aestivum (bread wheat). RNAcentral describes it as "partial small subunit ribosomal RNA". Lineage: Eukaryota; Viridiplantae; Streptophyta; Magnoliopsida; Poales; Poaceae. The record is from RNAcentral.
AUGUGUGUACCGAAGAAGAAAGGGGGAUUAGGAUUUAGAGACCUUCACAGUUUUAACCUUGCUUUACUAGCAAAACAGUGUUGGCGACUAAUCCAGAACCCGGACUCUCUCUGUGCACGUGUACUAAGCGCAAAGUAUUAUCCAGAGGGGAAUAUUUUGAAGGCAGGCCCAAAGAUAGGCUCGUCGUUCACUUGGCAGAGUAUUGUUGCAGGGAUUCAAACCUUC